Molecule: ribosomal RNA, 492 nt
Filed under: uncultured bacterium
Lineage: Bacteria
Description: partial 16S ribosomal RNA
Rfam family: Bacterial small subunit ribosomal RNA
Source: RNAcentral
AGUGAACGCUGGCGGUAGGCCUAACACAUGCAAGUCGAACGGCAGCACAGUAAGAGCUUGCUCUUACGGGUGGCGAGUGGCGGACGGGUGAGGAAUACAUCGGAAUCUACUUUUUCGUGGGGGAUAACGUAGGGAAACUUACGCUAAUACCGCAUACGACCUACGGGUGAAAGCAGGGGAUCUUCGCCCCUUGCGCGAUUGAAUGAGCCGAUGUCGGAUUAGCUAGUUGGCGGGGUAAAGGCCCACCAAGGCGACGAUCCGUAGCUGGUCUGAGAGGAUGAUCGGCCACACUGGAACUGAGACACGGUCCAGACUCCUACGGGAGGCAGCAGUGGGGAAUAUUGGACAAUGGGCGCAAGCCUGAUCCAGCCAUACCGCGUGGGUGAAGAAGGCCUUCGGGUUGUAAAGCCCUUUUGUUGGGAAAGAAAAGCAGCAGGUUAAUACCCCGCUGUUCUGACGGUACCCAAAGAAUAAGCACCGGCUAACUUCGUG